Molecule: ribosomal RNA, 386 nt
Filed under: uncultured bacterium
Lineage: Bacteria
Description: bacterial SSU rRNA
Rfam family: Bacterial small subunit ribosomal RNA
Source: RNAcentral
AUUGAACGCUGGCGGCAUGCCUUACACAUGCAAGUCGAACGGUAACGCGGGGCAACCUGGCGACGAGUGGCGAACGGGUGAGUAAUACAUCGGAACGUGCCCAGUAGUGGGGGAUAGCCCGGCGAAAAGCCGGAUUAAUACCGCAUACGACCUACGGGUGAAAGCGGGGGACCGCAAGGCCUCGCGCUAUUGGAGCGGCCGAUGUCAGAUUAGGUAGUUGGUGAGGUAAAGGCUCACCAAGCCAACGAUCUGUAGCUGGUCUGAGAGGACGACCAGCCACACUGGGACUGAGACACGGCCCAGACUCCUACGGGAGGCAGCAGUGGGGAAUUUUGGACAAUGGGCGCAAGCCUGAUCCAGCCAUGCCGCGUGCGGGAAGAAGGCCU